GCGCCCGUAGCUCAAUUGGUCAGAGCUGGCCGCUCAUAACGGCCUGGUUGCAGGUUCGAGUCCUGCCGGGCGCACCA
Molecule: transfer RNA, 77 nt
Filed under: Rhodospirillales bacterium
Lineage: Bacteria; Pseudomonadati; Pseudomonadota; Alphaproteobacteria; Rhodospirillales
Description: tRNA-Ile
Rfam family: tRNA
About the family: Transfer RNA (tRNA) molecules are approximately 80 nucleotides in length. Their secondary structure includes four short double-helical elements and three loops (D, anti-codon, and T loops). Further hydrogen bonds mediate the characteristic L-shaped molecular structure. tRNAs have two regions of fundamental functional importance: the anti-codon, which is responsible for specific mRNA codon recognition, and the 3' end, to which the tRNAs corresponding amino acid is attached (by aminoacyl-tRNA synthetases). tRNAs cope with the degeneracy of the genetic code in two manners: having more than one tRNA (with a specific anti-codon) for a particular amino acid; and 'wobble' base-pairing, i.e. permitting non-standard base-pairing at the 3rd anti-codon position.
Source: RNAcentral